Molecule: ribosomal RNA, 454 nt
Filed under: uncultured bacterium
Lineage: Bacteria
Description: partial 16S ribosomal RNA
Rfam family: Bacterial small subunit ribosomal RNA
Source: RNAcentral
GAUGAACGCUGACAGAAUGCUUAACACAUGCAAGUCGACUUGAACUUCGGUUUGGGUGGCGGACGGGUGAGUAACGCGUAAAGAACUUGCCUCACAGCUAGGGACAACAUUUGGAAACGAAUGCUAAUACCUGAUAUUAUGAUUUUAGGGCAUCCUAGAAUUAUGAAAGCUAUAUGCGCUGUGAGAGAGCUUUGCGUCCCAUUAGCUAGUUGGAGAGGUAACGGCUCACCAAGGCGAUGAUGGGUAGCCGGCCUGCGAGGGUGAACGGCCAGACGGGGAGGGAGACAGGGCCCGUACUCCUACGGGAGGCAGCAGGGGGGAAUAUUGGAUAAGGGACCAAGAGUCUGAUCCAGCAGUUCUGUGUGGACGAUGAAGUUUUUCGGAAGGAAAAGUGCUUUCAGUUGGGAAGAAAAAAAUGACGGUACCAACAGAAGAAGUGACGGCUAAAUACGUG